RNAcentral lists this ribosomal RNA (215 nucleotides) under Eohypochthonius environmental sample. Its description in RNAcentral is "partial large subunit ribosomal RNA". It matches the Rfam family "Eukaryotic large subunit ribosomal RNA", at positions 40 to 241 of the family's 3401-position model. The record is from RNAcentral. Lineage: Eukaryota; Metazoa; Arthropoda; Arachnida; Sarcoptiformes; Hypochthoniidae.
AUAUAAUUAAGCGGAGGAAAAGAAACCAAAAGGGAUUCCCCCAGUAACGGCGAGCGAAAAGGGAAGAGCUCAGCGCUAAGGCCUGUCGUCAUUUUGGCGUGCGGGCGAUGCAGCGUUAAUGUUAUAGCGCAACGUGCCAGUUGAGCAGCGCAAGUCCCUCUGACAAGGGCUUUUUCCAAAGCGGGUGCUAGGCCCAUAGCUGUUGCGAGACUGGU